AAAGUUGUUGUCCUCUUAUAAAAGUCAUCAUCAUAUUGCAUACACAAUAUACCACCAUUAAAAUUAAAGUUCUUAUAUUAUGACAACUCCAAUAAUUAAUCAACCAUCCAUUAGUGUUAAAACACUUUCUGAAUCACCAAAUCUCAAAUUUAUCCCUUCUAAUUAUGUUAACACUAAUAUUUAUCCCCUUGAAUCUGAGCCACAUGAUCAUUCAAACUCAAUCCCCACCGUCGAUUUUUCGCUACUCAACUCCAUUGAUCCUCAUCAAAGGUCUCAAGCUAUCAACAAUCUCAAUAAAGCUUGUCGAGAAUGGGGAUUUUUCAUGGUGGUAAACCAUGGGAUACAAGAAAGUUUGAUGAAUAAAGUGAUUGAUGGUACUCAAGGAUUUUUCAAUUUAAGAGAAGAAGAGAAGAAAGAAUUUGAAGGGAAACAUGUUUUGGACCCUAUAAGAUAUGGAACAAGCUUCAAUACCUCUAAAGAGAAAACUUUCUUUUGGAGGGACUAUCUUAAGGUCUUUGUGCAUCCAAAGUUCCACUCUCCUAGCAAACCCGAUCGAUACAGUGAUAUUAUGUGGGAGUAUUGUGAGAAAGUUAGACAAGUAACAAAAGUAUUACUUGGAGGAAUAUCACAAGGUUUAGGACUUGAAGAAUGUUAUCUGGAAAAAACUCUAGAGGUGAAGUCAGGAUUUCAAAUUUUUAUCGCGAAUUAUUACCCUAGUUGUCCUCAGCCAGAACUUGCACUUGGUAUGCCACCUCAUUCAGAUCAUGGCCUAUUAACUCUAAUUAUUCAAAACCAAGUUGGAGGAUUACAAGUUCAACAUCAAGGCAAAUGGAUUCAUGUCAAUGCCCUUCCCAACUCACUCUUGGUCAAUACCGGCGACCAUCUCGAGAUAUUUAGUAAUGGAAAGUACAAAAGCAAUAUACACAAAGUAGUGGUGAACAACACAAGUCCAAGAAUAUCAGUAGCUGUUGCUCAUGGACCAUCACUAGAAGCAAUUGUAAGUCCAGCUUCUCCAUUGAUACAAAGUGAAACCAAUUAUACCCCAAUGAAGUACAAGGAUUACAUGGAGAUGCAACAAAGUAAUCAACUUCACCAAAAAUCCAUUUUGGAACAAGUCAAAAUUAAGAGGAAAUGAUUAUUUUCCCCCCCUAAUAUAUAAUUGGGAAAUAUAUAUUUAUGUAAUAUUUAUAGAAUCUAAAUGUACUGAUGCUUGUUAUUGAAUCCAA
RNAcentral lists this unclassified non-coding RNA (1226 nucleotides) under Hevea brasiliensis (rubber tree). The record is from RNAcentral. Lineage: Eukaryota; Viridiplantae; Streptophyta; Magnoliopsida; Malpighiales; Euphorbiaceae.